GACAGACCUCCCACCUGCUCACAAGCCAGCUCCACCCCCUCCAAAAAAGAAGACCAGUGAUCUCAAAGGCCACCUGACAUCUGAAGAUAUUCAGGUGGUUCACUUGGACAAAGAUGAGGAAAUGCAGAAGCUUCCUCUCCAGCCUCCUUACUAUGACAUGGCACCCUCUGAGUCCACUGCCUUCACUGAUAAGGUGAACUCUGGCCACAAGGACUGUGAUGUCCAGUAUGCGGAGCUGGAUACUGCAGCUUUGGCCUCCUCUCCCAGCCCACGAAGCUCUGCUCACACUGGCGGGGACCUGGUCGAGUAUGCAACCAUCCAGCCUAGCUCACACUAGCGCAUGCCAUUGUAGGCCUUUCCCCUAAGACUCUGGCCUCAAGAACACUGGGAACCGUUUCGAAGAGCUAUCAACCCCGACUGAAUAUGUGAGCUACCAUCAUGCCUGCAACCAGGAUCACCGUAUUGAGAUACCGGCUUCCUCUUCCUACACUCCCAUCACCCUCCUGCCUCAGAACCCCUAUCCUCCACAGCCUCCUA
Molecule: long non-coding RNA, 537 nt
Organism: Sardina pilchardus (European sardine)
Lineage: Eukaryota; Metazoa; Chordata; Actinopteri; Clupeiformes; Clupeidae
Exons: 4
Source: RefSeq, a predicted model, not a curated record